AGCGGCAGGCUUAACACAUGCAAGUCGAGGGGCAGCACGGGUAGCAAUACCUGGUGGCGACCGGCGCAAGGGUGCGUAACGCGUGAGCAACAUGCCCUAUACAGGGGGAUAAUCCAGGGAAACUUGGCCUAAUAUCCCAUAGUAUUUAGAGGAGGCAUCUUCUAUAAAUUAAAGCUUCGGUGGUAUAGGAUUGGCUCGCGUGACAUUAGCUAGAUGGUGAGGUAACGGCUCACCAUGGCAAUGAUGUCUAGGGGUUCUGAGAGGAAGGCCCCCCACACUGGGACUGAGACACGGCCCAGACUCCUACGGGAGGCAGCAGUGAGGAAUAUUGGACAAUGGAUGGAAAUCUGAUCCAGCCAUGCCGCGUGCAGGAAGACAGCCCUAUGGGUUGUAAACUGCUUUUAUAUGGGAGCAAUAAGGUCUACGUGUAGACUGAUGAGAGUACCAUAUGAAUAAGCAUCGGCUAACUCCGUG
This 474-nucleotide ribosomal RNA is filed under the name uncultured bacterium. Its description in RNAcentral is "bacterial SSU rRNA". It matches the Rfam family "Bacterial small subunit ribosomal RNA", at positions 39 to 507 of the family's 1533-position model. The record is from RNAcentral.